RNAcentral lists this ribosomal RNA (267 nucleotides) under uncultured bacterium. Its description in RNAcentral is "partial 16S ribosomal RNA". It matches the Rfam family "Bacterial small subunit ribosomal RNA", at positions 86 to 354 of the family's 1533-position model. The record is from RNAcentral.
UACCGGCGACCGGCGGACGGGUGCGUAACGCGUAUGUAACCUACCUUUGACAGGGGGAUAACAUCGAGAAAUUGGUACUAAUACCCCAUAACAUCACCGGAGGCAUCUUCGGUGGUUGAAAACUCAGGUGGUCAGAGAUGGACAUGCGUUGUAUUAGCUAGUUGGUGAGGUAACGGCUCACCAAGGCGACGAUACAUAGGGGGACUGAGAGGUCAACCCCCCACAUUGGUACUGAGACACGGACCAAACUCCUACGGAAGGCAGCAG